Molecule: ribosomal RNA, 218 nt
Filed under: uncultured bacterium
Lineage: Bacteria
Description: partial 16S ribosomal RNA
Rfam family: Bacterial small subunit ribosomal RNA
Source: RNAcentral
UAACAUCGGAAUGUGUCUUCUAGUGGGGGAUAACUGCCCGAAAGGGCAGCUAAUACCGCAUGAGACCUGAGGGUGAAAGCGGGGGAUCGCAAGACCUCGCGCUGGAAGAGCGGCCGAUGUCCGAUUAGCUAGUUGGUGAGGUAAAGGCUCACCAAGGCGACGAUCGGUAGCUGGUCUGAGAGGACGACCAGCCACACUGGGACUGAGACACGGCCCAG